RNAcentral lists this long non-coding RNA (546 nucleotides) under Homo sapiens (human). RNAcentral describes it as "non-protein coding lnc-GOLGA6L6-6:4". Lineage: Eukaryota; Metazoa; Chordata; Mammalia; Primates; Hominidae. The record is from RNAcentral.
AAGAGCCUAACUUAUUUCCUACUCACUAUUUCUCCUGUAGCUCUUCAGGCAAGCUGAAUUGAACUCAUGUUGCUUUUUCCCUUUUUGUUUCAGCUCAGUUUGCAGGGGAAGACCCAGUGGUAGCUUUGGAAGCUGCUUUGCAGUUUGAAGACACCCGGGAAUCCAUGCACGCAUUUUGUGUUGGCCAGUAUUUGGAGAAUGGCUUCAGUCAUCCAUCUUCUCUGGAGGCCUGCAGACCAGCCAGAUCCACUACAGCUACAACGAGGAGAAAGACGAGGACCACUGCAGCUCCCCAGGGGGCACACCUGCCAGCAAAUCUCGACUCUGCUCCCACAGACGGGCCCUGGGGGACCAUUCCCAGGCAUUUCUGCAAGCCAUUGCAGACAACAACAUUCAGGAUCACAACGUGAAGGACUUUUUGUGUCAAAUAGAAAGGUACUGUAGGCAGUGCCAUUUGACCACACCGAUCAUGUUUCCCCCCGAGCAUCCCGUGGAAGAGGUCGGUCGCUUGCUGUUAUGUUGCCUCUUAAAACAUGAAGAUUUAGG